CAUUAGUGUAUAUUAAAGUUGUUGCGGUUAAAAAGCUCGUAGUUGGAUAUCUGAAUUGGUUGGUCUGACCCGGUAGUAUAUUUUUUAUCAAAGUGUCUCGUGUUUGUUGGUACGAAUCAGCUCAUCUAUUCCAGGUAUACAUUGUUUCUUACAUUUAUUUGUUGGAUCCAUUGAAUUACUUGGAUCGUUUACUUUGAAUAAAGGAGGUUGUUUAAAGGAGGCUACACACGUCAUUGUAUUUUUCAGCAUGGAAUAAUAAUUUAGGGCUUUGUGUUUCUAUUUUGUUGGUUACGAUCUACAUGAGCAAUGAUUAAUUGGGGGAGUUGGGGGUGCUAAUAUCCAUUGGGAAGGAGUGAAACCCUAUGAUCCUUUGGAGAUUGUCUAACGCGAAAGCAUUCACCAAGGUUCCUUUCUUUAAUCAAGAACGAAAGUUGGGGGAGCGAAGACGAUCAGAU
This 455-nucleotide ribosomal RNA is filed under the name uncultured eukaryote. Its description in RNAcentral is "bacterial SSU rRNA". It matches the Rfam family "Eukaryotic small subunit ribosomal RNA", at positions 592 to 1013 of the family's 1831-position model. The record is from RNAcentral.